GACGAACGCUGGCGGCGUGCCUAAUACAUGCAAGUCGAACGCACAGUUUAUACCGUAGCUUGCUCCACCAUAUACUGUGAGUUGCGAACGGGUGAGUAACGCGUAGGUAACCUGCCUGGUAGCGGGGGAUAACUAUUGGAAACGAUAGCUAAUACCGCAUAAUAUUGAUUAUUGCAUGAUAAUUGAUUGAAAGAUGCUAUUGCAUCACUACCAGAUGGACCUGCGUUGUAUUAGCUAGUAGGUGAGGUAACGGCUCACCUAGGCGACGAUACAUAGCCGACCUGAGAGGGUGAUCGGCCACACUGGGACGGAGACACGGCCCAGACUACUACGGGAGGCAGCAGUAGGGAAUCUUCGGCAAUGGACGAAAGUCUGAACGAGCAACGCCGCGGGAGUGAAGAAGGAUGUCGGAUCGUAAAGGUCUGUUGUAAGAGAAGAACGGGUGUGAGAGUGGAAAGUUCACACUGUGACGGUAGCUGACCAGAAAGGGACGGCUAACUACGUG
This 505-nucleotide ribosomal RNA is filed under the name uncultured bacterium. RNAcentral's name for it is "partial 16S ribosomal RNA". It matches the Rfam family "Bacterial small subunit ribosomal RNA", at positions 28 to 507 of the family's 1533-position model. The record is from RNAcentral.